CAAAUGGGCAUCUCUUGCGGAUGAAAGUAAAGCAGCAAUUGGCUGAAGAGAGGAGGCCCUCCUUUUUAUAACUAGGGAUGGACAUAGCUGGUCAAAUUAAUAAUUAGGUAAAUACCUAACAGGAAUGUGGCCAGGAAAGAUUCAGUAACAAAAUCAUAUUUAGUUUUUCACAAACACAGAUAAAUAUCAAACAAUGUAUAUUUAUUUGCUGAAAAAUUCGGACUGGCAUGUAAGAAGUUGUCUGAGACCGGCACUCCAGAACAGUAGAUGGCGGUAAUGAACAUAAUGAAGUUAGAGGCCACCCCCCGUAGCAGAGGAAGUACUACCGCCACAACCAAACAUCUCUUGGCGUAACAAACCUACUGUAUAUAUUAUCAUGGAUUUAGCUUUUUCUCUUUGACUCCUGCAUUAUGAUUUUUUUUUUUACUGUAAAUAUGAUCUAGCAAGCUAAAUACUAUGGUACGACGGCUGAGCACGCUCGUCCCUUUGAUUUGACUCAGUCAUUGUUCGUUUAAUUUCCAAAGAAAUAGAGGCCGAGGGAUUUGCACUACCAACCCAGGUAAUAUUGCUAGUAACGGCGACGUAACCUUACAUUCUAGACAGUCCGAGCUAGCAAAUGAACGUUCGCUCGAUAGCUAGCUAACGCAAACUACACAGAUACAAUACGGAAUUGCGUUUUGAAAUUAGUCUAAUGUUAGCGUGCAAUGUUCAUGAAAAAUACUCGGUUAACUUUUUUUGACUGUGUACAGUAGUUAAUCAUCUAACUAGAAGUAUAGAUAUAAACCAGACACAACAUAGUUAUUGUAAGCGUAUUUUGUAAAUAAAUAUAGCUAUAAGUGAUGAUAACGGAACGUCUUUGUCCCAUGCCUUUUGCCAUGGUCUGUAGAUUUACCUGGCUGUAGGCCCACAACAAAAUCGCUUCAGUAGCAUCACGUGAUACAAAAGCCCCAUCUAACACAAAGCGUUCUUUUGAGUAACGUUAGGUUGUUAUAGUAGCAUAUUACAAAUUGAAUACAAAUCAAAGCAAUACCAACGUCAUCGUUUGCUCAGAAAAUGGACACUAUAGAAAGUGUACGAUUUCAAACUAUCCAUUCUGAAACAGAGAAUAGAUAUCAAAACCCACGCACUCAACAUGACGAAAAUGAAGGUAUCUUUAGUACAAAUGUGGAUGAAGAAAUUAAAGAUUAUUCCUUCACCGAAAUACAAGCUCAUGACCUAGAGCAUUAUAGAAGAUGUCAAAUAGGUAUCUCAUGUUCCCAAGAGGACUACCAAGUAGAUGUUUGCAGGAAUGUUAUAAAUCAAAUUAUAGGAGAUGGGGUGCAGACACACUGGAGUUUUUCCAGAUUAGUCAAGUGUUUCAGUGAUCGGGACUGUUCUAAAGUGAAGUUCAGCCAAGUCCUUGCUGAAUACAAGUCUGACAUUCUACCUCUCAUAAUUGAGGAAUAUGGUAGUCUUAGCCAAACUGAGAAGAAAAUGAUGUCCCUUAUUAAUCAGCUUUUGUGUGGAUUACAUUUGAUUGUUGGCUUAGCUCAUCAGGCCAAAAUAACGCUUCUACUGUGGGACAACAUGAUUUUCGGUGAGCAGUUAGUAUGCGCAGGAGCCCAUAGUCUUCGUUACGUUGGGCCAACUGAAUUGGAGUCUGGAACAGUGCGUGCUGUGAGAACACUGAGCAAUGCUUUCCAGACGCUGGAGUUUGUGGAGUUCAAAACAUUUUUGACCAGCAAAGGAGAAUUUGACGAACAGCUCUUUUCUCCAUCCAGUGUAAACAGAAUUGACAGUCUGUUUCAUAACGCUGCUGGGUUAUAUAGCAUCUGUAAUGAUUUGCUUCAGUUUACCAGUGGCUGCACAGAAAACAUUAGUUUGCUUGAGGAUGUCGCAGCUGAUUUGAAGGUUCAACAGUUCAGAGCGGGAUGCAGAGCACUUGGCCUGUUUUUCAAAUUUGUUAUUCAGCCUUUCUGGAAAGCCCUGACUUUGAGUGGAGAUUUGUUAAAGAUGAACAUAAGAUACCAAAUCUUGAUUGGAAAGCUUAAGGAAUGGCACAUAGAUGGCAAAAGCCUUGUGGAUGGAAAUGUUUGCUUGUUUGAUGACAUUGAGGUAGAAGGGGAUCCUGUCUUAGACAAGCUUACUAUGUCUAUAGACGAAGGCUGUUUCGAAUUGACAGUUCAGAUUGUCGAAUUGCUAUCCUACAGUUUUCUAAAGGUGUGUCAUCAGAUCCUGCCAAUUGAUCUAGAGCCUUCAGAUGACAUUAGAGAGAGGAAUGAUUUGGUGUCAAAGAUGGAUGAUCACAGCGGGCAGAGUUUAAAUGUCCCAUUACAUUCACAAAAGGCUAAAUCAAAUGCUACCUGUUUCGCCCUUGAAGGUAUGUUUGUAUCUAAGAGGCAUCGUUCUUGGAAAUGGCUGUCCUUAUUGGACAAAGAAAAAACUGUUUCAGUUUUAAAAACCCUGAAGCAAACUUUGAAACUGAACAAAAUCUUGAACAAAAGAAGAAAAGUUUUUGUGCGAUCAAAAUUCCCAAAUACAAAAAAUAAAAACAUGGCAGUUGACAUGGUGACAUCAGUUCAGUUGAGGCCAGCCAAGGAGAUGUCUUGGAAAGUUGAAGCUAUGACUAAAAUAAAAUCCCAGCAAUAUCACAAAUCAGCAUCAUGCUCAGGUACACUCGCAAUCAAGAAUUUUGGAAAAAGAGUGGAAGGGAAGGAACUUAAAUACGUGUCUAAGCAAAUUGCCAAUACGAAAUCUGAAGCAUUUGCGCACCAGAGCAAUAUUAGAAAGCCGGUUCAAGUAAAGCCAAAGCCUGGGCUAGAAGUAUUAGAAACAGGACCUCUACAAUGGCCCAAACAGUGUACUAGACAGGGAACACUGGUGAGGGGACAUUUGGAUGCACUUUCUAGUGUUUCUUUGUCCCCUAUGAGGGCCCGGGAUAAUGUGACCAUGGAACACUAUUUAACCCAAAAGCUGACACAGUAUGGUGGGCAGUGGAAGCACGUGAAAGACAUUGAUAAAAAUGUGGCUAUGAUAGAUGCGAAGGAUAGAUAUGCAGCAUUAGUCAGCCAGCUGUUAUUUCACAGGUUUGUUCUAGGUUUCCGCAAUAAGCACGGUGUCUUCAAUACCUCAUGUGCCGGUAGGAGGUUGCAGUUGAGCGAACUAGUGGAUAAUUUGAAACGUUCCUUAUUGACUAAACGAUGAGGAGGAGGAGGAUGUUAAAAGUGGAUGAUCACAAUAGUUUACUAUACAUUUGAUUACUGUGCAGACAAACGUGUAUUCCGUUCACAGAAAAUGCUCAUUUAAACUUAAUACUGUUACCGCAUAAAUGGAAACAAAAGGAAGCAGAAAUAACUGACUGAUCUCAGAUUUGUUCGAUCAGUUUAAAAAACACAAAUCCUGUUUCAGUGCUGAGAUGGAGUAGUGUCAACUAUUCUGCCAAAUAGACAGAUCAUGUUUUGAAAGGUCAAUAAGCUUGUUUUUGGUAAUACAUUUGCAGUGAACCACUUGUGGUUACUGUGGUGAAAAUGUUUAUAAUAUAUGUGAUAUGCAACAUUUUAGACAGCUGUACAAUUGGUAGGCUGAAAUGUCAUUUACUGUUGUGUGCAGCAACAAAGUAGUGCAUCUCUGGUAUAAGUGUAGAAGGGACAGCAUCUUAGAGGACUGCAAGUGUAUGUAAGGGUGGAGCCUCAUUUCUUUACCCUUAAAAAGAAAGGGUUUGAGUUGGUUGAUUUAGCAAUUUCCCUUGGCCUCCUGUUCACGUAUAGCUGACAUCUUGUGUAAAAAGACCAAGGUCACAAGAAAUGCUUUUUUAUUUUGGAAUGAUUGCUAGAUGUGCAACCUUGCAAGUGACUAAAUAGCCCUUUGAAAAACGUUUUGAAGUGCCUCAUUUCUUUUUGGAAACGUUGAAUAGUCAGUGUUCUUUGGUUAAAGAAGGUAUACACAUUUUUGGAAAGGACUUCUUAAUUUUUCUUCUCCAUUUUUUUCUUACAAACCAUAUAUGUUUACACCAAGACACCACAAAUUCCCUUUUUGGACACAUGACUGCUGUUGACUAGGUGGCGGAAGUUUUUUUCAUUCUGAGUGAGACUUUUUGCUGACCUGCUUCUCUGAAACGUGAGUAGCGUGACCCCAAAGGAUCAUAAAACCAAGCAACUCCCACUGGACUCAGCGUCUGGUGAAGCACAUCCAAUUCCGUUGUGGUUCUUAUCAUGCUGCUCGCUCAACAAGGACGUCUACACUGGAAUCUCUGUGCUGGAAUGAACACACACUCCGGUCCUGUGGCUCACACACCCCAAGCUGCCACAUGGAGUCAAGGUAAAUACACCUUUGUGUCUAACUGCUGAGUGUCUGUGAAGCAGAAUGGAUUCAUCAUCCCUUUUCCAUGGUAGACUGAACUGUUUGUCUUAUACAAGUGAACCUCAACCUCAGAAGAUCCUUGAUUUGCUGUACCAUAGGGACAUGAAGUUGAUUCUGUCGCCAACUUGUGGACCUGUCCUAAGGAUCUUCAAAAACACCACUGUUGUAUUUUUGAUCACAUAGGUUUUCCUGUCAGACCGGUUGUCUUUAAUUUCCAUGCCCUGGCCUGACUGACCGGAACAUUUAUCCGAACAGAAAUCUAAUGCUUCUCACAGUGGAGAAUUCUGGACUGGUUGUGAGGUCACAGGAAAUAGACUGCAUCUUCGACACAGCUCAAUAAAUGUUUUCACAAUUUAAAUCUGAGUUUACAGUAUGAACUGUGUCACAAAUUUAUUGGUGCCAUUGAUAUUUCCUGUAGGCUAAUUUUAGUAAUUACAACAUCAAGUUAAUAAAAGGAUCAAUAGUAUGUACCUACUAUGUUUUCAUUCUCCCAGCUCGAUGGAACUUGAUGUGCUGGAGUCCUUGCUUAAGAUGUAAAAUAUCAGGUUGUUCCUUACUUGCUGCAGCCUAAUGGUCAUCUUAUUGUGAAACCUGUAACACAUUUUUAAUCUCUCAAUUUUUUUAUGGUACCAACCAGUCUCUGGACAGUCAUAAGCUCCUAACAAACCUAACGACCCUGUUAACUAAAUAUGUAUAUCUAUUUAAAAACGGUGUUGUCUAUCUGGCCAAAACAAUUUGAUCUCUGAUACAUUCUGAAUAUGUAUCCGUAUUCAGUACAAUAUGUAUUGUGAAUGCACAUCAAUCAGAUUUUAGACCUCUGUUAGUCAUCGUUUUUUGGGGGGAAGCUAUAUCUGGGUUUGCUUUACCAGUUUUUCCUUGAACAAUGCCUUGAAAAAUAAAAAUGUUGAAAUGUUCCUUUUUGGUUUGGGCUUUACUUCGUUCCAAAACGAACUUGUUACUUGUGAUUAUCCCGUUUUAUGUUCACCACCCAUUUAAUGUAGUUGUAUGUCAACCUUUUGUGUAUUCUAUCCCUAUUCUAUCUAAAAUUACCAUUACACCAACUGCCAUUUUGGAUAUGUAAAUGUAUCUGGCGCGAAUAAAGCUGAUUCUGAAAC
Molecule: long non-coding RNA, 5453 nt
Organism: Esox lucius (northern pike)
Lineage: Eukaryota; Metazoa; Chordata; Actinopteri; Esociformes; Esocidae
Source: Ensembl